CGGUGUUCAACUGGCGUGUCCGCGGGACGUCCUGCCGGUGGGCUUAGCCCGCAAGGGCGGCCCAACUUCAAAUCCCAUCGCGGUGCUCUUCACUGAGUGUCGAGGCGGGCCGGCACGUUUACUUUGAACAAAUUAGAGUGCUUAAAGCAGGCUAAAACUUCGCCUGAAUACUGUGUGCAUGGAAUAAUGGAAUAGGACCUCGGUUCUAUUUUGUUGGUUUUCGGAACCCCGAGGUAAUGAUUAAUAGGAACGGAUGGGGGCAUUCGUAUUGCGACGUUAGAGGUGAAAUUCUUGGAUCGUCGCAAGACGGACAGAAGCGAAAGCAUUUGCCAAAAACGCUUUCAUUGAUCAAGAACGAAAGUUAGAGGUUCGAAGGCGAUCAGAUACCGCCCUAGUUCUAACCAUAAACGAUGCCAGCUAGCGAUCCGUCGACGUUCCUCCGAUGACUCGACGGGCAGCUUCCGGGAAACCAAAGCUUUUGGGUUCCGGGGGAAGUAUGGUUGCAAAGCUGAAACUUAAAGGAAUUGACGGAAGGGCACCACCAGGAGUGGAGCCUGCGGCUUAAUUUGACUCAACACGGGAAACCUCACCAGGCCCGGACACCGGAAGGAUUGACAGAUUGAGAGCUCUUUCUUGAUUCGGUGGGUGGUGGUGCAUGGCCGUUCUUAGUUGGUGGAGCGAUUUGUCUGGUUAAUUCCGAUAACGAACGAGACUCUAGCCUGCUAACUAGGCGUAUUUUCGACAUCUCAAAGGUCCGUCGUCCCGGCCCUCGGGUCGUGGGCGUGCGCGAUUUUUACUGUCGGCGUACUAUCAAUUCUUCUUAGAGGGACAGGUGGCUUCUAGCCGCACGAGAUUGAGCAAUAACAGGUCUGUGAUG
This 877-nucleotide ribosomal RNA is filed under the name uncultured eukaryote. RNAcentral describes it as "SSU rRNA". It matches the Rfam family "Eukaryotic small subunit ribosomal RNA", at positions 636 to 1469 of the family's 1831-position model. The record is from RNAcentral.